Molecule: ribosomal RNA, 459 nt
Filed under: uncultured bacterium
Lineage: Bacteria
Description: partial 16S ribosomal RNA
Rfam family: Bacterial small subunit ribosomal RNA
Source: RNAcentral
CCUACUGGCGGCAGCAGUGAGGAAUAUUGGUCAAUGGGCGGAAGCCUGAACCAGCCAAGUAGCGUGCGGGAUGAAGGCCCUAUGGGUCGUAAACCGCUUUUGCACGGGGAUAACACCCUCCACUUGUGGAGGUCUGCAGGUACCGUGCGAAUAAGGGCCUGCUAAUUCCGUGCCAGCAGCCGCGGUACUACGGACGGCCCGGGCGUUAUCCGGAUUCAUGGGGCUUAAAGGGAGCGUAGGCGGGCCUUCAAGUCCGCUGUAAAAUCGAGCGGCUCAACCGCGCCCCGCAGUUGACACUGGACGCCUUGAGUUCACAACAGGCAGGCGGAAUUUGUGGUGUAGCGGUGAAAUGCAUAGAUAUCACGAGGAACCCCGAUUGCGAAGGCAGCCUGCCGGGGUGCGACUGACGCUGAGGCUCGAAGGUGCGGGUAUCAAACAGGAUUAGAUACCCCUGUAGUC